Molecule: long non-coding RNA, 1075 nt
Organism: Phyllopteryx taeniolatus (common seadragon)
Lineage: Eukaryota; Metazoa; Chordata; Actinopteri; Syngnathiformes; Syngnathidae
Exons: 2
Source: RefSeq, a predicted model, not a curated record
ACUAAAAUGUAUUUAAUUUUUAAUUUACCAGUAGCUUUGUUUUAGAACACUAUCACAUGAUAAAAGUAAAACACAGCAGACCUUUGUGACUUAACCACAAUAUGUUCCAGAAGGCUGGUCAACUUUUGAUUUGUCACAAUUUCUAACCAUGUCCAAAUUGAGAAUCAUGGAUUUAGAAAUUAUUAAUUAAAGGAGUCUAACCUUCCCCUUUUAAAAACAGAUAAAAACCUUUCAGAUAAAAAUGCAGCCCUACCGGAUGGGUCGUGUCCCGGGUUAACAACAUCCGCCACCGAUGCCUGUGGAAAUUCAGCUACUGUGGGUCGAAGACGAAGGAGAGGUGGAAAGCGGGUUCUUACUCAGAAAGAGAAGUGGAAAGAACAGAGCCUAGAACUGAACGUAGGAUGUGACAAAGAGGGGAAAGAGAAAUUCUGGAAGGAGCUGGACGAAGUAGUUCUGAGCAUCCCAGACGGAGAGAGAGAGAGUCGUGAUUGGUGCAGAUUGUAAUGGACAUGUUGGCGUAGGAAACGGGGGGGAAAAAAAUAAUACUAUUCAUCUUAUGUCAAAAUGAUGGAUGGCUGGAAGUGAUGUCAUCACCGGGUGCCGGAAGUUGUGUUGUUGUCGGAAGGAAGUUAGAUGUGACAUCAUCACAUGUUGCCGGAAAUGUACCGGAAGUGAUGUCAUCGUCAUCGUGUGGUGCCGGAAGUGACCUCCCACCCUCAGGAAGAAAGGGAAGUCAUGAGACUUUCAUACCUAAACUUCCGGAAUUCCAAGGUCUCCAUCCCAUCCCCCACAUGCAUACGUUACAGCCAAUAUAUUUCCAAGUUAUUUCAAAAACCUGCUAAGGUUACUUUUGCCAUUAACUGGAUUUUUUUAUUUUUUAUUUAUUAUCAACCGCAAUAUCAUGUCAAAAUGAGUAUACAGUACGUAUAAAUAGUCUAGUUAGCCUUGACCUAAGCAUAACAGAUGUUCUCAAAACGGGGAUAUGACGAUACAGUAUGAUCAAAAAGUUGUAUUAUGUUCCGAAGUGAAUUUUCCUAAUGUUUUCUAUGAAAAAUAAAACUCAAUCAGUAAUUAA